GGGUUGCUCCAUCCUGGGGCAGACUCCGGCACUUGCUCCUGUUCAACUCCAUGUGGUUGGUGAUUGCCCAGCCCUCCCAUUUGUCCAGGUCUCCCUGCAAGGCCACUUUAGCCUGAAGGGAGUCAACAACUCUCAAUUUUGUGCUGUUGACAGUCGUAACCAAUACACAUUCAAGUCCUCCAUCCAAGUCUUUUAUGAAAUCAUUAAAGAGAACUGGCCCUAAAAUGGGGCCCUGAUGGAACCCCACCAGUGACCAGCUGCCAGUCUGAUGUGAUCCCCUCUACUACAACCUAUUGAGCCUGACCCAUCAGCCAGCUGUUCACCCAUCACAUUGUUUUUGUCUAGCUGUCCAGGAGCAUACUGUGAGAAACAGUAUUGAAAUGUUUGCAGAAAUCCAAAAAGAUUACAUCUACCAGCUUCCCAUGGUCACCUAGGGCACUUCAGCAGAAUUUCACGUAACAUGAUGAUGUUUGUUACCCAGUAUCAUGUUGUUGGACUGCAGAAACGACAGAGAACCCUAAUGCAAAUAGGUACUUGAAUCAAGCACAUCUCAGCAAGGUAACAUGGAGAGUGAAGACAACAGGAUAGAAGAAAUAAAGAGUGCUAUUUAUUAUUGCUUCUGUGUACGAUGUACGGCACACACUCUUUUGAGACCUAAAGUGAGCAUAAUGGGUUUUGUGAUAAUCAGGAAGAAUACUUCAAUACUUCCGAUCCACUGAAGCAAGUAGAUUACAUGAUGAGUAAGGGAACUGAGUCCCACAGUAACGCAUCACUGAAUCCUAUAAAGUCCCACUGCAACCUGUGGAAGGUCCAUCUCAUUGAAAUAACACAGAAGCACAGAGCUUAAACAAGGACAUCAGGGUUUGAUCCUAUGUAAAACCCAUUUUGCUGCCUACAUAUCAGUGCUAGAGAAGGUGAAUAUUCCUGGGUAAUGUGAUCGUUUUUCUCCUAAAUAAACAAGUAAACACACAAACCAAGAAACACAAUUUCUUUCCAGAUAAACAAGAAUAGUGUUUUUCUGCUUCUUGUUGGGGACUGGAAGAAGAAACCCUUUAAAGUCAAAUUUUAGUGAAUCCAAAGUACUUUUUCUUAAAAUAUGUAAAGAAAUAGGACCAGAAAGCUGCCAGAGAAAGAAGCAGAGGCCGUACUACUGGUAAAUGGGCUCACAUUUCCAAAAUUGUUGUUGCUAUUGGCUUACAUACAUGCCUAGAAGCUCAGAAUAUUGGCUGUCCUAGAAUUGCAACAGUGUUCGGUUUUUUGGUUUGUUCUUUUUCCAAAUAAAUGAUUCAUUAACAAAAAUAGUAAGUAUAAUUCCUAAGAAGAGAUUCGCUUUCAAUUGUAAAAGUUUUUGAAAGCGCCAAAUCAUUUAUUUUAAUGUGACAAUGUGCUCACAUUUGUUACAAACAUUUGUUCUCAUAAACCCUGUACUGUCCCAGACAAACCAUUAAAUAAUGACAUAUAAUGCAUAUUUAUGUGUGUUUCCUUUCCCUGUAACCAUAAAUUCUGUAUUUUCCCAUCAUCUCCUAAAACACAGCUAAACACUGAAUUUUCCAAAAGAACUAAUUAUUCUUUGUUUAAUGGCUCUUAGCUUCACUAGUCUCUGUGCAUCUGAUGAACAGCAGAACAACAGUAUGACAGAAUUUCUACAGAAGGAAGCAAUUUCUGACAUAUUUUGAUCUUCAGUCUUGCACCUACAAUAAAAUGUUGUCUAGCUUCAUCACCUUGCCAGCCUGCACAUCAGACCAGAAGAGGCUAGUGAGAAAACUGUGGAGAAGCAAAGUUGGAAGUCUGUUCAUAUGUGUCUGCUGGCAAAAGCAAAAUAAGUCUAGAUUCCACAGAAAAUAUAAACGGUAGCUAGUCUUCUACCAAGUUAAUAUUCUAUCAUGUAGGCUUUCUUGUGAAAAACCUCAGUUCAUUUAACAAGAAGUUGCAGUGAGAUCUUGUAAGGCAAGUGCAUUAUUAUUACCUUGCUGUAUGACUUGGAAACUUUGUUAAUACUGGGCUAAUAUUCAAGAUCCACUGGAGGUAGUGGAUUAAUGCGCAAAGCCAUUUCCAUAUGGUUACCAAAGGUAUUUUUUUGAAAGCAGAGGUUUCCUCUCAUCUGCAAAACAUUAAAAAGGAUAAACUCAGGAUCAUAUUCAGACAAGACAUACCCUCAGCAGUUAGAUAACCAUCAACAGCAGCUUAAGAUGUUGCCUCAUUAGCACUUAGAAAACAGCAACAUUUUUUUUUUAAUACUGAAGUCCGCAAUAGUAAAAUUAUGGGAGAGUAUAAAAAUCCAAAUGUUCACAACAGACAGAAUUCUUAAAUAUCCACUAUUCCAAACUGCUUCCAUAAAUACGAGUACGGAAGUAACCCCUGACCAGAAAGAAGCAUUUCACAAGAGGCUCAAAUCUUCAUCUUCAUUAAGAAUACAAGUGCAAGUCCAACAGGUAGAAUAUCUGAAGUGCAAACAUCAUAGAUCCAGUUGUCUACAUUACAGGGCUGUCUGCAGAAUUUGUAUUCAGUCUCUUGUAUCACUCCAAGGCGACCGGCUCUCAACUCUUUACAGGGUUUCUAGGUUAAAAUCAAGGACCAUGAACUAUAUCCAGAUACUCACAGUGAAACUUGAAGUCAAAUUGAAAGCUAUGUCCAUCCAAACCUUAUGCAGACUGAUUCACUCCACUAAGCAGGCAGGUAAAACACUGCCUAUAUUAUGAGGUUCUCCAAAAGGCCCUCAGAAGCAGAUCCGCAGCAGUCUGCCUGUCAAUAUUACUCAAGUUUACAAACAGUAAGAGAACAAAAAAUCAAGAAAAAGAUUGAGAAACACUAACUCAAGUAUAUAGUCGUGGUGCCAGGCUCACAAGCCUAAUCCUUACAGGGCACAGAUAAACCUUAAGGGAGAUACAUACUCUUCCCUCAAGGACCUGUCGAUCUCAGGGAUCUGAUUUUAUUGUGGUUUACAUUUGGAGAAUAAAGAAAUCCCACCCCUGUGAUGUGAGGGAGAUCUACCCAGAGUGCAAAUGUUUAUAAUCACAGUAAACUUAUACAGUACUAGUUUAAUAAAGACUAUAAAGCUGCAGUAAUAUAUUGAAUAUUGCAAGAAAAUCAGUUUUGUCUUUCUAUAGAAUACAGGACUUCAGGAAAUUCUAAUCAAAUCAGUUGUACAAUAACUUAAAUUACAUCACCAGGUUAGAGAGUAAUAAUGGACAAAAUGCUAAGUGGAAACUAAUUCUUAUUGAAUGAGUCAGAGUAACACAGUCAGACACAGAUAAAUAUUACAUUUUUCAUGGACGAUUGCUUUCAAUCAUUUUGUCAAUAACAAUGCAAAACACUAGUAAUUAAGGAGGCUCAGCAAAGCUGAGCUUCUUAACUCUGAAAGAUCGAGAUAAUAUUGCUGCAAGAAAAAGAACUGUAUCAUUAUGGAAAAGUCUCUAAUUCUCAAGCUAACUGAAAUUCAGUUAAAUUUGUACUUCAUUUUGUGUAGAAUAACAAGGACUAUACAGAAUUCAAAACAUUUCAGAUCAACAACCUUGAAUAGGACACCAUCUGAUGAAAUUUAUGUGCAAAAGACAAAAAGAAUCAUUACAUCAAGUAACCAUAACUUGUCCUCAACAGCAAUUUCCAUACAUUGUUGUGCAUAUUUAUCGCCCAUCUGUCAAAAACAAGAGUAAGCUGAACAUAACUAAACUCAUGCAUCAACACAAAUCAAAACUGCUAAACAUAAGACAUGCAGAAUUAUACAGGACAAUAUUUAAAAACAUAUAUAAACAGUGCUAUGAAAUGCUCUGUGAGUCAUGUCUGAUUGCAUGGUCCUGGAGGCAAGAACCACUCUUUAUAUUGUACACAUAUAUAAUACAAUGCUAGGCAUCAUGCACCUUGUAUUUGUACAAUACCUACUGUUGUUAUAAAAGCAGCUUAAAUAAUAAACCUGCUGUAAGUUGAAGUAUCCACAAGCGUAAAACUGACAGAAGCAUAAUCAAAUGAAUGUUUUUUUAAUAAGAAAUUACACAAUUGUCUCCUUUGUCUCUAUUGUAUUCAUAAUACAAGCAAUGGUAAAUUUUACUUCAAAAUUACUAAGCAUACUGUAUUGGCGAAGCAGAUCUGCUUUGAACAACAAAGCCGUAAGUCUGGGUUUUACUGGACUAAGUCUAAACCCUGAGACAAAUGACCCUACCCCCAAAUCCUAACAUCCAGCCCCUAAGGAAUCCAAAUUUCACUCUCAGUGAAUGAAAGGAGCCAAGGAUAUGUCUACAGAAUCCAAGGAUUUCUCUAUACUGUAAGCAGAACUGGAAUCAUGUCAUAGCACAGAUAAACCGCAACAGAUUUUAGCUUGGUGGUGGAAUGAGCAUGGAGCUUAGCAUUGCAAGGUAAGGACUAACACAGUGGGCACAUUCAGCACCAAGGGACUGCAGCUACCGGUGCCUGUAGUAGGCAAUUUUGAAACACACUGAAGUACACCUAUACUCUUUUUCCCCUGCAGAUUACAAAAUAUAAUUAUGCAUAAAGUCUGAUUACUAACACACUACAGAAGUAGGUGUUUUAUAAAGAAGAUACAUAGUAAGACAAUGCCAAAUACAUAAGUAGUAAUGAGGAAACUUGAAAGUAUUUAACACUCUGUUUUAGAGGAGUCACCUCUAGAAUCUCUACUGAUAGCCUGUGAAAGGAAAUGUAAGCAGAAGUUUUUAAAAGCAAAAAGAACUAGAAAAUUCAGUGUUAUUUUCCAGAACCACUUGAUCUUUUCCUCUCCUGGAAAGGUUUUCUUUUUCUGUACUCUGCAUAAACUACUAAUGUGAUGCUGAGAAGAGACACCUUUGUAUUAGCAAGUUUAUAUAUGAAGGAACAUAAGAGUCAGUUACUCAGCAGUAGCUAACAUUGCAGAAACACCAGUUAACAUCCAGCUUUUGAAUCUGAAAACUUGCUAGUUUAGGAAGUCCCAUCUCAUUCAGUCACUCUUUCUCCCUAAGCCAAGAAGCCCCAAAGAGAUCGUUCUUACUUUUCAAAAACCUUUUUAGCUGCUCUAAAAACUGGACAGAGAUGAUUUACAUUUUCAAACUCUCAUCAUAGAUUCCAGUUCUACAUUUGCUCUUCCUAUUUUUCAGGUGGCAGAAUGAGUUACCUGGAUUUUAGUGAAAUUUUGGACAGUGGUGUAAACAAGAAUAGUAGCAAAAGCUACAUAUGAAGUAAUUUACCAUGUUGAAACUGAUAUUUAAAAAAAAAAAAAAACCCACGCAGCAAAAACACUGACAUAGGACAGUAUUACAUUCCUUUUUUUUUUUAAUAAUUGUUUUAAAAAAUUAUUUAUUAUUAUUAUUCUCUGCUUUGGCAGCUUUCUUUAGGAACAUUAGCUAUGAAUCACAGAUUAUUGAAUCAUAGAACAUCCUGAGUCAAUAGAGACAUAUAAGUAUCAUCAAGUCCAACUUUGGGCUCCACACAGCACCACCCAAAAAUCAAACCUUUACAUCUGAGAGUGCUGCCCAAACACUUCUUGAAUUCCUGCAAUCUUGCGUCCUGCUGCUGUCACCAGAGAGCGGAGCUCAGCUUCCCUCGUGAGGAGAUGCAGGCAACCAUGAGGCCUCCCCUCAGCCUCCUCUGCUCUGGGUUGAACACACCAAGAGACCUCAGCUGAUCCUCAUACAUCUUUUCCUCCAGACUCUUCACCAUCUUCAUAACCUUCCCUUUGGACACGCUCUUAUAGUUUCAUGUAUAUUGUUACAUCUAAACCUGCACACAGUGCUUAAGGUGGGGUAGCACCAGCGCAGAGAACAGUGGGACAACUACUUGUAAGAGCUGUACACAAACACUUUUUUAUGUAUUUCAUAAUCAGAGAAACAAGAGGUCUUAUUCCUGUGUCAGCUUCCUUAACUUGAAUUUUAAAAGACUUGUUUUUAAAGAGGAGGAACUUCUGGACAACCAUUGAAGGAGGAGAGCAGAGACUCCUGAAAGCAGUUUGCAUUUGAUAUAACAAAGGAAAUGCAAGACACAGCCCAUUUGCAGAACAGUUAAUAAAGGCAAACACACUCUGCGGCAUAUCUGUAACAUCCUUCACACCGCCUGCCCAAUUUACAACCUGGCUGACAUACCAGGCCAGUGUUAAACAACUAAAAGUUCAACAAGAUUUAGAAUGCACCAUACCACACAGCACUAUGCAAAAUGGCACUGAGGGACAUGGUCAGUGGUUACGGUGGGGACGGGCUGACGGUUGGUGAUCUUAGAGGUCUUCUGCAGCCUUAAUAACUCUACGAAACCUCAAGUUGCUGACUUGACAUUAACACUAAAACAUUGCACGUGACUGUGUCCUUAACAAGCGAGCUCUUUAAUAGGUGCCACAGCUAGUCAGCGUCCUUGAAAUCCCGCAUUGGGCAGGAUAGACGCGCUUUUCUCACGAACUCCCAUGGGCCUGUCCGCCUCCCUACAACGACUCCCAGCUCGCCCCAGAGGUGAAGGAAGUCGCUCCGCGGCCCGGCAGCGCGCCGCCAUUUCCCCUCCCCGGGGGCGGGGCGGCGCUGACAUGGCGGGGCGCUGGGACUCACCCGGCCCCGGGUCACGUGAUGCCACCGUCGCGCGCGCUUCCCCCCCCUCCC
Long non-coding RNA from Numida meleagris (helmeted guineafowl), 6563 nucleotides. RefSeq lists it as uncharacterized. The record is from RefSeq and is a predicted model, not a curated record. The transcript has 3 exons. Lineage: Eukaryota; Metazoa; Chordata; Aves; Galliformes; Numididae.